CUGUAGCUCAGUGGCAGAGAAUUUGCUUAGCAAGCAGAAGGUCUUGGGUUAAAUCCCCAGCUGGGAGA
Podarcis lilfordi (Lilford's wall lizard) is the source of this 68-nucleotide non-coding RNA. The record is from the annotation of a GenBank genome assembly. NCBI's taxonomy places the organism in Eukaryota, Metazoa, Chordata, Lepidosauria, Squamata, Lacertidae.